RNAcentral lists this non-coding RNA (117 nucleotides) under Gorilla gorilla gorilla (western lowland gorilla). The record is from Rfam by way of RNAcentral. Lineage: Eukaryota; Metazoa; Chordata; Mammalia; Primates; Hominidae.
GCCAGGCACGGUGUCGCAUGCCUGUAAUCCCAGCACUAUAGGAGGCCGAGGCGGGUGGAUCACCUGAGGUCAGGAGUUCAAGACCAGCCUGGCCAACAUGGUGAAACCCCGUCUCUA